This 476-nucleotide long non-coding RNA is filed under the name Equus caballus (horse). Its description in RNAcentral is "lncRNA (ENSECAG00000056684.1)". The record is from RNAcentral. Lineage: Eukaryota; Metazoa; Chordata; Mammalia; Perissodactyla; Equidae.
UGGGGCCUUUGAAGGCAAUUACGUUUAGAUGCCAUCCUUAUGCUGGAAUUAGCACCCUUAUGGGAAGAGACACCAGGGAGCUUGUUUCUUCUCUCUCUCCCCACCAUGUGAGGACACAGGCGAAGGCGGCCAUCUGCAAGCCAGGAAGAGAGCCCUCACCACAACCUGACCAUGCUGGCAACUUGAUCUUGGGCUUGCCAGCCUCCAGAACCAAAGUUGGUACUCCCUAAUGUGCCACUGACUUGGGGAAUGGCCACCAUCACCAAGUUCUGUGUCACAGCCACCCACAGAGUACAUGUUGGCCCCUCUCUCCUUUAUAGAAAGGUUUAGAUUUGGAACUCCUUGCCCCAAGAAGCUCUUGCUCUCCAGAAAUUCAUGUGCAGUAUUUGAUGAUAUCACAAUAAAAAUUUAGAGCACAUGGCACGCAAAGUACAAAAGUAAAACGUCAAUACUAACCGGAAAUGACAAGAUUACAG